CAACGAAAUAAAUCCCUUCGGGAUUUGUGAAAUGCCCUGCGGGCGUGAAAUACGCCUGCGGCGCAUGAAAUCGCUG
Molecule: non-coding RNA, 76 nt
Filed under: unclassified sequences
Also listed under: 1 other name
Description: Gut-1 RNA
Rfam family: Gut-1 RNA
Source: RNAcentral